CUUCUUCUUCUUCUUCUCCUUUCUCUACUCUCUACGCGCUCCCUCUCUUCCUCUCUUAAAACCUUACCCUCUGUAACGACGACGACGACAACGACAAGGAGAAUAGGCGAUGGUGUUGCGGUUGUGCUGCAGGCCGCUUGAGCGGUGCUUUGGGAGGCGUACUGGCGGAGGUGGUGGUGGUGGUGAUGGGGGGAAUGAGGAGAGUGGUGAUCAGAAAAGGAAUAAGAAGGAGGCUUUGAUGGCGUUGACGGAGGCAGGUAGGUCGUUGGAUAGUUUGCCGAAGGAUUUGAAGGCGGCUAUUGAGGAUGGGAGAAUACCUGGAUCCAUAGUAUUGAGAUAUUUUGAGCUGGAGAAAUCACCAUUAAUGGCAUGGUUGCUUCGUUUUGGAGGGUUUAAGGAGCGGCUAUUGGCAGAUGAUCUCUUCCUUGCCAAGGUUGGGAUGGAGUGCGGCGUCGGUAUUUUCACAAAGACUGCUGCUGAGUAUGAGCGUCGCAGGGAAAACUUUUUUAAUGAGCUAGAAAUUGUUGUCGCCGACGUGGUGAUGGCCGUAAUAGCAGAUUUCAUGCUCGUCUAUCUUCCUGCUCCAACUGUUUCUCUCCGACCGCGAAUGGCUGCUGUUAAUGCUGGACGAAUUGCCAAGUUCUUUUACAACUGCCCAGAUAAUGCCUUUCAGAUGGCCCUGCCUGGGACAUCAUACUCAUUGUUGCAAAGAAUAGGUGCAAUAGCGCGCAAUGGGUCUAAACUUUUUGCUGUUGGAACUGCCUCUUCCCUGGUUGGCACAUUGGUGACAAAUGCAGUACUAAAUGCUAAGAAGGCUGUUAAUAGUUCUGCUGCUGAAGAAGUGGAGAAUUUGCCUGUUGUAUCAACCAGUGUAGCUUAUGGUGUUUAUAUGGCAGUUUCCAGCAACCUUCGAUAUCAAGUUGUUGCUGGUGUAAUUGAACAACGGAUCUUGGAGCCCAUGCUACACAAACACAAGUUGAUGUUGAGUGCAAUGUGCUUUGCUGUGCGAACAGGCAACACAUUCUUGGGUUCACUAUUGUGGGUUGAUUAUGCUCGUUUAAUCGGAAUUCAAAAGGCUCAUGACGAAGCUCCUAGCCAAAAGGCUCAUGAGGCAUAGGUGCAUUUACUUGGUUUUGAAUUUCAGAAAGUCGAUUUCUGAUUGCUAGACCAUUUAAACGUUACAUGGAGAUAGGUUAGCGGGAAAUAAUUUUGCAUAAGUAGAGGUUAUAGAUCUAGCAUCUUUCUUAGACCUCUCAAGUAUUUAUAUGUUUGUUUGAUAAUUUGAAGAUUUUAUGUUGUUCUUUAUCGGGUUGGGAUACUUUUGCUUUAUAUUUUCUGUCAUUUUUGGUACUUCUGUAAGUACCAACUGUGGGAUUACAAAGAUAUUUGUAAAUCGAAUGCAUCUUUUUUUCGCGCUUGGAAUUGGUGAUAUGCAUUCAUGAUUUGUUAAAAUGAAGAGACUUGGGGUGUGUUUGGUAAGUAGGAGAAUAUUUU
Molecule: unclassified non-coding RNA, 1494 nt
Filed under: Hevea brasiliensis (rubber tree)
Lineage: Eukaryota; Viridiplantae; Streptophyta; Magnoliopsida; Malpighiales; Euphorbiaceae
Source: RNAcentral